AACGUAGGUUCCGAGCGUUAUCCGGAUUUACUGGGCGUAAAGCGCGUUCAGGCGGUUUGGCAAGUCGGGCAUGAAAUCUCUCGGCUCAACCGGGAGAGGUUGUCCGAUACUUCCAGACUUGAGGGCAGUAGAGGGUGGUGGAAUUCCUGGUGUAGCGGUGGAAUGCGCAGAUAUCAGGAGGAACACCGGUGGCGAAGGCGGGAUCCUGGGCCAGUACUGACGCUGAGGAGCGAAAGCGUGGGGAGCAAACAGG
RNAcentral lists this ribosomal RNA (253 nucleotides) under uncultured bacterium. RNAcentral's name for it is "partial 16S ribosomal RNA". It matches the Rfam family "Bacterial small subunit ribosomal RNA", at positions 524 to 776 of the family's 1533-position model. The record is from RNAcentral.